Molecule: long non-coding RNA, 555 nt
Organism: Anarrhichthys ocellatus (wolf-eel)
Lineage: Eukaryota; Metazoa; Chordata; Actinopteri; Perciformes; Anarhichadidae
Exons: 4
Source: RefSeq, a predicted model, not a curated record
UCGCUGCCGAAGAGGGUCCAACUGCUCCGCAAGUUCAUCAAGAUCGCAGCACUCUGUAAGCAGCAGCAGGACUUGCUGUCUUUCCUCGCUGUGGUUCUGGGUCUAGACAACCCUGCUGUCAGCAGACUGCGACUCACCUGGGAGGGUCUCCCGGGGAAGUUCAGGAAGCAGUUUCAGCAGUUUGAGGGCGUCGCGGACCCGUCCAGGAACCAUAAGUCCUACAGAGACCUGAUCACCAGCCUGAGACCUCCACUGAUCCCCUUCACUCCUCUGCUGCUCAAAGGUGAGUCUGGACCUGAGACCACGUGAUCACACCAACAACCAAUCAGAAGCCUCCUGAUAGUCACGUGACCAUUCCCUUGUUGCCACGGUCCCCUGAGAGUCUCUCCUGAACUCCUUGUGAUCGUUUCUCUUAUUGCUCCUCUGAGACGACUUUCCUCCUCCAGCUGUGGACCAGAUGUGAAGCCGUGUUAGCGACGUUAGCUCCUCCUCGCUAAUUAGCACCUCUGGCUAAUCAGCUGCAUGUCGCUGUUAACACACACACACACACAUACA